Molecule: ribosomal RNA, 467 nt
Filed under: uncultured bacterium
Lineage: Bacteria
Description: partial 16S ribosomal RNA
Rfam family: Bacterial small subunit ribosomal RNA
Source: RNAcentral
GACGAACGCUGGCGGCGUGCUUAACACAUGCAAGUCGAACGGAAAGGCCCUGCUUUUGUGGGGUGCUCGAGUGGCGAACGGGUGAGUAACACGUGAGUAACCUGCCCUUGACUUUGGGAUAACUUCAGGAAACUGGGGCUAAUACCGGACAGGAGCUCCUGCUGCAUGGUGGGGGUUGGAAAGUUUCGGCGGUUGGGGAUGGACUCGCGGCUUAUCAGCUUGUUGGUGGGGUAGUGGCUUACCAAGGCUUUGACGGGUAGCCGGCCUGAGAGGGUGACCGGCCACAUGGGGACGGGGAUACGGCCCAGACUCCUACGGGAGGCAGCAGGGGGGAAUAUUGCACAAGGGGCGGAAGCCUGAGGCAGCAACGCCGCGUGCGGGAGGACGGCCUUCGGGUGGUAAACCGCUUUCGCUGUGACGAAGCGUGAGUGACGGUAAUGGGUAAAGAAGCACCGGCUAACUACGUG